This is a small nucleolar RNA of Theobroma cacao (cacao), 697 nucleotides long. RefSeq annotates it as small nucleolar RNA R72. Lineage: Eukaryota; Viridiplantae; Streptophyta; Magnoliopsida; Malvales; Malvaceae. The record is from RefSeq and is a predicted model, not a curated record.
UUUAAAGCGCGUAGCUUGAGGAAAGGAUAACAAUAACCGAUCCCCUGAAGAAGCCUAAUCUGCAAGAGAAAAGCUUGACCGUCCAUAUUUAACCCUAGUUCUACCCCAAGGUUCAACCCUGGUUAAGUUAAGCCUUCCAGGCUUUUAGCAACCCUAGGGAACCUCUAUUACUGUAUAUAGUUUGAGAAGCAGACCCUGCUUGUAGCUGCAAGUUGCCACUACCAAAGCAGCAGACCAGAGUCAGAUACUAUUACUAUUUAUAUACGCAUUUUAUGGUAUUAUAAUAAUGCUAGUAGUGGAAAAUAGCAACGAAAGGCAUGCAAAUGAUGAGAAUCAUUUUGGGUAUGAGAAGCUCGCCCAAUAUUUUAAUGCGAGCGAUGUUUACACCUCAAACUUCCAUGACUCUGAUGCGACCCAGCAUCAGAUAGGGCACCUGGAGCUUGGAGGAUCGAUUUUGGACCCAUGAAGUUGUUCAGAGUCGGACCAUAAUGAUGUAGCAAUACAUAGCAAUAACUUGGCCAUGCUCAGCGCCACCAAUAAUAGCGGGGUGUUAUAGGUAAAACUGACAAUUCUUUAUUUGAAUGUCUGGAAAAAAGCAAACAACAUCUUGGGAAAUACAAAUAGAGAGCAGUGAAAAUUAAACAAACACCGAUAGCCACGCAAUAGAAUAUAAGCAGGUAAAGGGUACUAUUCUCAA